GACGAACGCUGGCGGCGUGCCUAAUACAUGCAAGUAGAACGCUGAAGAGAGGAGCUUGCUCUUCUUGGAUGAGUUGCGAACGGGUGAGUAACGCGUAGGUAACCUGCCUUGCAGCGGGGGAUAACUAUUGGAAACGAUAGCUAAUACCGCAUAACAUUGUAUGACACAUGUCAUUUAUUUGAAAGGGGCAAUUGCUCCACUACAAGAUGGACUUGCGUUGUAUUAGGUAGUAGGUGAGGUAAUGGGUCACCUAGGGGAAGAUACAGAGCCGACCUGAGAGGGUGGUCAGCCAGACUGGGACUGAGACACGGCCCAGACCGCUUCGGGGAGGAGCAAGAAGGGAACGUCGGGAAUGGGGGCAAACCUGGGCGGACAACGCCGCGGGAGUGGAGAAGGGUGUCGGGUGCGAAAGCUCUGUUGUAGGGCAAGAACGGGUGUGGGAAUGGAAAGUUCACGCUGUGACGGUAGCUUACCAGAAAGCGACGGCUAACUACGUG
RNAcentral lists this ribosomal RNA (497 nucleotides) under uncultured bacterium. Its description in RNAcentral is "partial 16S ribosomal RNA". It matches the Rfam family "Bacterial small subunit ribosomal RNA", at positions 28 to 507 of the family's 1533-position model. The record is from RNAcentral.